UUGUAAUUAUAAAGACGUAUGGGUAAAAUUGUGUGUCAGAGGAGUCUGUGAGUAAGGCUGGUACUAUUUUUAGACUGUGUGUGUGUGUGGAAAUGCAAAUAAGGAAGCUGAGAGGUGCAUAGAGUAUGAGGAAGUUUAUAGAGACUGCUAGACAUUGCUGAUGGCUGUAUUUAAGACGCUGGUUUUGUUUAUGACAAUAUUAACCAGUGUGUCCCCCAGACCUGAUAACACCCUUGCCCAGUUGGCCCCCGUAUCAGGCGAGCAUGGAAGGCUGGACAGCCCAUGACGGGUAAGAUCCCACCUCGAAACCCUGGGACAACCUAAGGCAAGGCGCAGUCACGAUUGCUUGAACCUAAGUCCCGGAGUGACUUUGGAGUCACUGGAGGAGACGGGACUUCAACGGGUAAAGCCGCUGGGUACAGGCGAAGGGGAAAUGCCACUAACAAUGACCAGUGAUGAGCCAGAGAGAGAAAACACACCCUGUCAAAAGGAGUCUGAAACACUGCAAAAGAAACAUUUAUAAGAUCACAAAGAUCACAAAGAAACAUUUAUAAAAAUCACACAUACAAACAGAAAAUGCACUAACCUUACAGAGAUAAGCUCAUGAAGAUUACUGCAUAGAUAGUGAUUAAAACCUGGCUAAGAACAUAAACAUAUGUAAUUAAAUGAGCUUGCUAAUUUCAUGAGUGUUAAAAUAGUGUGAAUGUUGAAGAAAAUACAUUUAAAACACACUUGGAUAAAAUAGAGUUGUGGAAUAACUCAAACGAAGCUGUAUGACAAGGGAGUGAGUUAUGGAAAAAACAAAACAAAACAAAAAAAAAAACAAAAACAAAAGAGAAGUGAUUAGAGUAGUUUAAAAAGGGUGACUUAGGAGCGCUGUUGCACUGAUUGAUAAAAGCAAGUGAUUAGUAUAGAAAGAAAAUGAAAAUAAUUGAAUAAUGUGAUAAGGUUUAAACAUGUAUUUAUCUUGUGACGGAGUAUGAAAAUUAGUUGGAGAGCUAAUGUGAGUGAUGACAGAGGAGCUUGCUGUGUGUGUGUGUGAUUGAGGCCUUCAAGGAGAAGUAGACGGUUCAGAGGUGCAAAUUUGAUUAAGAGGUUUAUAAAUUAGUGUUGACACAUGGUUAUAACGUGUUUAUAUCUUAGGCUGAAUGUGAGUUUGGUAAAGUGCUUAAAGGGGGAUAUUGUGUACGAAACGGUGUAGCUUUUUACGUUUUGGGUGUGUUCUAUGGCUGAAAUUUAAGAUUGUUGAAGAUUUUUGAGGUUGUUGUUUUUAUUUUAAUAGAGGGAGUUUUAAUAAACAUGGACAUGUUUAAGGGGUUUUGUAACAGUGCACUUAUAAAGAAAAAACCUGUCAGGUGUUUUUGUUUUGUACUUUGAUGAGCUAAUACUCAGCUCUCUUUUUUCCUCAUUUUUGUUCUAAGCAGGCCUGCAAAAGACAACAAUGAAUAACGGCGCCGACAAUAGUCUCAGGAAAACAAAAAGUAAGGUGACCUUUUCCGAAUUACAAUGGGUCAGAUUGUGGGUCCCUGUCUAAGAGGAUUGCAGCGAGCCAAUCCAGUCCAAAAGUAUAAAGAACUAUUUUCUUAAGAAACGAGUAAAAAGAAAAUAAAUGAUUAUAUAAAUAAACUGAGUUUGCUGAAGGUGGUAAAUCUGAUUAUUUGUGCGGAAGUCAACCAACACCCGAUGUUAAUGCGUGUGAGUGAAUGUGUGGGAAUGGACGGACCAGGCAGACCAUAGGUUGGACCGACUGGACACUGACAAAAGACUGGACUAAGGUUGGACACAUGACUGAUAAUUGUUAUGUUUUAAGUUUUGUUUUAUAACACAGGUUGGAUCAUAAGUGGAGAAAGUGAGUAUAAAAGGUGAUGUUCUGGUUAACACACAGGCUUUUGUUUAUAGGACGUUUCAAGGAUGCAGGCUGUGGAUGGAGCCAAGAAGGGAUUUUGACAUGAUGAUUAAUUUGAUUUCAUUCUUUAAACACAGGUUUGAAGGCCCGGAGCAACUAUACCUAAUAUGAUAUGAUUAACUUUUCUUUUAAUUCCCUAACCUGAGUGAAGGAUUUUGAGUUUGUAACACAUGAGAUGUGUCACAAAAAGGGGGGUCUUAAUAUAUGCGAUUAGCUACAUGAAAUGUGCUCUUUUAGGGUUACUAAGCAAAUGUCUACGUGAUCUUUACCUAACAACCUUUGUGAUGAUAAACUUGUUUACCGACUUGCUCUCUUGUAGAACAUACAGACUUAGGAAAGGGGAACCUCAGCUCUGAGUUCUGAGAAUAACUUUGGUAUCUUGGUAAGUUGACAGGAAACACGUCGAGACAGCAAUAUAGGGCAAAGGUGUUAGAGCUUGUAAUUAAAUGUGGGCUUGAAAAGAGGAAGCAAAUUUGGUAAAGGACGUGCUUGAGAUGAUCAGACGAGAGAAGGAGAAGGUCAGGAAUAGUUUAAACUAAGAUUGAGAAAUAAAUGGGGUAAAAGGGGGUGUAGCUUCAGGGCAGCUCGCAGCCCGGCGUAAACGCAAGGUGCUGUCACACAGCUUAAGUUAUUUGGUUGAUUUAUUUUAUGACAAAAUAAUAAGGAAACAUUGAAAACAUACAACCCGUUGAGGAGACAGAUAGGGUUGGCCAAUCGAAAGGUUUAGUUUGUUUAGCAUGAUAUCUUUUGUUAUAUUUUAGAGUUUAACAUGGAAGAUGCCUCUCUGGAGCUUUUCUCCUGAUGCUACCCCAAUAAAAGACGCUUAUCCAUAGAGACUAUGUCAGCUCCCAAACAGACAACAACAAACCAAGACUAGCAAAAAACAAUCUGAAUAUAAAUAAUAACAAAUAAAGAAUAAUACAGAAUCCAAAUAUGAACGAAAGAAUAAAAUAGUGAAAUGUGGAUUAUUAAAUAUUAAGUCUCUCUGUUAAAAGAAGUGUCUGUUAGCUGACGCCGAGCGGUCGCAGCAGAUGGCUGCCCGUACCUGAGCAUGGUUCUGCUGGAGGUUUCUUCCUGUUAAAAGGGAGUUUUUCCUUCACACUGUUGCCAAAGUGCUGGCUCAAUAGGGGGUCACAAGAUUGGUGGGUUUUUCUCUGUAUAUAUGAAGCCCCUUGAGGCAAUUUUUGUUGUGAUUUGGCGCUAUAUAAAUAAAAUUAAAUGGGAAUGUAUUGAAGUAAACUUAAAUGUCAUAAACUAGGAAUUAGUUCAUUUCUCAGGGGAGAAAUGAAAAAAAAACGGGGACUGGUGUUAGGAAUAAAAGUUAUAUUUUUAAUAUGAAUCUGCUCAUUAUCUUGUUUUAUGUACUUUAAUAAUGAAGGCUGGCUGGUAGAGCAAGGCCACCUUUUACUCACAAACAAGUGCUCAGCCAGACUGAAAAACAGGAAGUUUUAGUGCACAAGGCAUAUUAAUAAAUAUAGACACAAAAAGAGGAACUCCCCAUAUAAACAACAUUCAAAAUGUGUGAAGUAUAAAGUACCGAAAUAACACUAUAUAAGUCACAGCUGAUGAUUCUAAUGUUAGAGAGCUCUUGCAACUGGCGUCUGAGCUGUGCAGAGGUCGCUCUUAAGACAGGUACUUAUGUAGGUUAACAUAAGGUUGAGUCCAACAGAAGCAAGGCACCCCAAAUGUGCACAGCAUGCAGCAGGGGUGGCCAAAAUAAUAUAGGGAACAGCACAUGUAGGGAGAGAACACUCACUAAAAGUUCUGACUACACAUAGUGUGGUGGCUUAUGUGAAUUUGCAGGUUUUAACUAUGACAUCAUUAGCACAACAGAGACUGAGUAAAGUUUUAGAUGCUCGAAAUCUGACACUUACACAUGAAGGAAUCAAUAUGGCAGAUGUAAUGGGAUUAGGAGGACCUAAUUAUUGUACUAAGAAAGCAGAACUUGAAGGGAAAGUCAGGGAAGAUUUAAAAACAGGACCUGUUGGGAUUGGGGAUUUAGAGAUUUUUAUUGCUAUUAUAUAAUGUGCCUUAUGAUGACUGCAUUAAUAACAGGUUGUACAGUAUAAUUUUAAUAGUAUUGAAUAUGUUUGUGAUAACAGUGAUGUCUCUAUUUACAGGUUGAGUUUAUUUCAGACACAAUGCAUAACUGUGCUUGUUUAGAGUUGAUGUUCCGUCCAAAAGGGUUUAAGCUUCACUGGUGAGAGUGUCCAGGUGAUACAUGUUGAGGGAAGAUGAGAACAUAGCAGGUUAAUUGCAUGCACGCUUACAAACACACAUGAUUUAAAUAUAGGCCAGGCCGAAGGCCUGGACUUUAUGUAGCUUUUAAAUUUACAGCUCCUAACUUGCAGGAAUGGCGUGGAGUGUAAUGAAUGAAUGCAAAACAUGCUUACAGACACAAACAUGAAAUGGAUUUAUUUUACAGGGUAAAGGUGGACCACAUGUUGCUUUGUUUCUGCUUAGCAACUGCUGAGGUAAAAGGUGUUAAAGAUAAAUAUGCAAUAAGUGAACAGGAAAUGUGUGAGGGUGAGCCGGGUGAAACAAAAUGUUGUAGAUAAUGGAAACUUGUCUAACUGGCAUUAACAGUAACUUUUGCAUGUUAUGUAUAUGCUUGAGGCCAAAAGAGGCGUAAAUCCUGAUAGAAAACUUUGAAGUGUGCUUUUUAGCGGAGAUUUAGGCUGACAGGGGGAUGGUGUGUAUUUUACUCUGUGUUUAAUAAAGCUAAAAGCGUUGCUCACACACAUAAAGAGUAUUGAGAUUAAGUAAAGUUAAUAUAAUGGAUAGAGCCCAGAACAUGAUAUUGUCAACCAACUUUGAAUAAUUCAAGGAACAUUAGAUGAACACAGUAGGUUAGUGAGGUGUAGCAGAGAAAGGCUGUUUGUUUUCUAUCCCUUACAGGAGAAGAUUUCCACUAGAGAGGGACCCAGAAAAGGAGCAGAGACCACUUAAGUAUGAAGUGUUUUCAAGUGGGAGCUGGUGUUUUAUUACUGGACCACCUAGAGGACAUGAGGUGGUUUUCUGAUUUGCUGAGUCAGAGGACGGCUAGAGAGGGUCAGAGCGAAGGCAGUGGACCUGGGAAUGGUGGUUGCGGGGCCCAUGAGGCCAUUAAUGGAUGUAGAGGUGACAGAGUGGGUCGAGGAGUGACACAAGGAACUGGUGUGGUGAUGUCUCUGGAGAGACAUCAAGAGAGGGAAUUGUAGAAUUAAAGAAAUUAGUUUACUGCUGAACUGUAUAUAACCAGCAUCCUUAUCAUUACAUUAAUUAUCAUUUCAUCAAAGUGUUUAUUGAAGCUGUCGGCAUUAUGUUAUAAGUUAUAUUAUAGGGGUUAUCAUAAUCAAAUAUUAACAUGUUUAUUACAGGUGCAGUUAUAACUACUUUAAAAUGAUUGAGUUAAUAUAUAUAUAUCAUAACUCAGAGCCUGAGUAUAUUGUUACAGUAAAAUAGUAGCUGAGUAAAGGCCUGAAUGUAUUCAGCUUCUUGUGGUAUUUGAGUUUGCUUAGUUACAGGUGACGAAAGGAUGUCCAGUCCAUGGGGACCUCAAAGGCCUGAGAUCUUUACCAUAUUUGGAUGGAUGGGGAACUUCUGUGUCUGCAGUUAUCUCUUAAAAUACAUGGAUGUUCUCUACAUGCAAAUUAUGUGCUUGUAAACGCAUGAGGGGGCGUUACAAUACCCUGAUGUUAUAAAAGCAAUCUAGAGUGUAUUUUGGGUAGAGAUGUACAACUGAUGUUUUGCAGUUUACACCUCUCCACGCUGCGUGCAUUCAUUAAAAUCAAUUGUUUGACCGACCUCUUCUGGACCAUCAUUGUUUUACUCUCGUCCUCAAUUUCGAACCCGUAACAGUGAAUAAGAUCAAUCUUACCGUUUCAAUGAAGUCUGACUGUAUAGAAUAUAAAACACAUGAAUUAUUAACAGCAAUAUGUUACGGCACUAGCAGAGCCUCCUCCUGAAGUUGCCCGUGUGGGCCUGUCUUACCAGCUCUCCUGCCUUCUUCUUCUUUGUGUUUAACGGCGGUUGGCAACCAACGUAAAGGAGCAUUACCGCCUCCUACUGUUCCGGAGUAUGGGUCAGACAGUGAGCUUACAAUCUGUAUCCAAAUCAAACAGACAAAAAAAAAAAAAAAAAAAACCCUUGCACUCUUUCAUAAACACCUAUAGCCUUCAAAAACCCCACCAAUUCCCUCACCUGUGCCCUACUACCCUCCAACACACUCUUCAGAUUAAAUUCCCCGAUUCCCCACUCCUUCAAUCUAUUCUGCAGAACUUUCCUCUCCACAUCAUAACCCUUGCACCGCAGUAUUACAUGCUCUACCGUCUCCUCCUCCUCCUGGCACACUCCACAAAGCCCCGUCCCAUGUUCUCCUAUCAUCUGUAGUGUUUUAUUUAAUGCACAAUGUCCCAGUCUAAGCCUGGUAAUGACCAUCUCUUCUCUCCUAUUACCCCUAUACAACCUACACCCUGCCACCUCCUUCUUAAAAUGAUGCAAGUGCCUGCCCUUACUCCCUGAAUCCCACCGCUUCUGCCACUCCUGAACAACCUGCCUCCAAACAAUACCUUUUGCGUCAGAUCCGCUCUCCUGCCUUAGGUGCCACCUUUUUCUUUUGUACAGCUGACUCACAUCAGCAAUUAAAGGUAUUUAAGCCCAGAGAAAGGUGAGCUCUGGUGCCUGAGUGCCAUGUGAGUGGUUGCAGUUAGUGAGUUGCGUGUUUGGAGCUAGUGAAUUGCGUUCGGUGACUAAACUCUUUUUUUUUUUUUUUUUUGACUUUUCAGUUUGUUUACCAACGCUUGAGUUUUGUUUGUUUCCUUACAUGGUGAUGGCGGCUUGUCUGUCUCUUUUAGUUGAGCUAUUAAUAGUAACCUUAAUAAAACUCUUUAAUUUAA
Molecule: long non-coding RNA, 6783 nt
Organism: Pelmatolapia mariae (spotted tilapia)
Lineage: Eukaryota; Metazoa; Chordata; Actinopteri; Cichliformes; Cichlidae
Exons: 2
Source: RefSeq, a predicted model, not a curated record